Molecule: ribosomal RNA, 406 nt
Filed under: uncultured bacterium
Lineage: Bacteria
Description: bacterial SSU rRNA
Rfam family: Bacterial small subunit ribosomal RNA
Source: RNAcentral
UAGCCUUGACAUUGUAUUGAACACACUAGAGAUAGAGUGGUGCCCUUCGGGGAACAUGAAAACAGGUGCUGCACGGCUGUCGUCAGCUCGUGUCGUGAGAUGUUGGGUUAAGUCCCGCAACGAGCGCAACCCUCGUCCUUAGUUGCUAGCAGUUCGGCUGAGCACUCUAAGGAGACUGCCUUCGUAAGGAGGAGGAAGGUGAGGACGACGUCAAGUCAUCAUGGCCCUUAUGGCUAGGGCUACACACGUGCUACAAUGGGGCGUACAGAGUGUUGCGAUACCGCGAGGUGGAGCUAAUCACUUAAAGCGUCUCAGUUCGGAUUGGAGUCUGCAACUCGACUCCAUGAAGCUGGAAUCACUAGUAAUCGUAGAUCAGCAAUGCUACGGUGAAUACGUUCCCGGGUCU